RNAcentral lists this ribosomal RNA (440 nucleotides) under uncultured bacterium. Its description in RNAcentral is "partial 16S ribosomal RNA". It matches the Rfam family "Bacterial small subunit ribosomal RNA", at positions 338 to 795 of the family's 1533-position model. The record is from RNAcentral.
CCUACGGGAGGCAGCAGUGGGGAAUAUUGCACAAUGGGGGAAACCCUGAUGCAGCAACGCCGCGUGAGUGAAGAAGGAUUUCGGUAUGUAAAGCUCUAUCAGCAGGGAAGAGAAUGACGGUACGUGACUAAGAAGCCCCGUCUAACUACGAGCCAGCUGCCGCGAUAAUACGUAGGCGGCAAGCGUUAUCCGGAUUGACUGGGUGUAAAGGGAGCGUAGACGGCUGUACAAGUCUGAAGUGAAAGCCCGUGGCUCAACCGCGGAACUGCUUUGGAAACGGUAAAGCUGGAGUACGGGAGAGGCAGGCGGAAUUCGUAGUGUAGCGGUGAAAUGCGUAGAUAGUAGGAGGAACACCAGUGGCGAAGGCGGCCUGCUGGACAGAAACUGACGUUGAGGCUCGAAAGCGUGGGGAGCAAACAGGAUUAGAUACCCGUGUAGUC